UGGCUCAGAGGUUAAAGCAUCUGCCCACAAUGCAGGAGACCCAGGUUCGAUCCCUGG
RNAcentral lists this transfer RNA (57 nucleotides) under Capra hircus (goat). It matches the Rfam family "tRNA", at positions 8 to 63 of the family's 71-position model. From Rfam's summary of the family: Transfer RNA (tRNA) molecules are approximately 80 nucleotides in length. Their secondary structure includes four short double-helical elements and three loops (D, anti-codon, and T loops). Further hydrogen bonds mediate the characteristic L-shaped molecular structure. tRNAs have two regions of fundamental functional importance: the anti-codon, which is responsible for specific mRNA codon recognition, and the 3' end, to which the tRNAs corresponding amino acid is attached (by aminoacyl-tRNA synthetases). tRNAs cope with the degeneracy of the genetic code in two manners: having more than one tRNA (with a specific anti-codon) for a particular amino acid; and 'wobble' base-pairing, i.e. permitting non-standard base-pairing at the 3rd anti-codon position. RNAcentral also lists the same sequence under 1 other name. The record is from Rfam by way of RNAcentral. Lineage: Eukaryota; Metazoa; Chordata; Mammalia; Artiodactyla; Bovidae.